CAGCCUAGCGUGGAGACGGAACCCAUUGCGAGAACCACUUACCACAGGACCCCACUGUCGCCACUGAGGAAAAGUGCUCAUUCAGGCCGCUUCUCUGAAGGGUCCAGACUGGGCCGGGGAUCUUCACCCAUUUGGGCCACCUCGCUUUUGAGCAAGCUGUCAUCUGUGGCCUUGUUCUCGCCAAGCACCCUGUAUCAUUAUCCUACCAUCAAGGCUGCAGGGUUCCAUUCAUCUUCAUCCCGGACUCAAUCUGUGCAGAGAGGAGCUGCUCCACCCCACCACCUGGAGGCUUCCUUAUCCAUCACCUUCCUGCUUCCCUCGGGAUCUGCAGGGCCCCCACUCUGCAAUCAGGCCUCUCCCCCAGGCCCUGCGGGAGUUCAGUGCUGCAGCACCGAGGAGGGGAAGGUCACCUGACUGUCCCCUUUUGCUGUGUCACUGACACGGCUGAUGUAUGCGGGCCAUGAGCAGAGACAUGGGUCUUCUCUCCCUUAGGGACUAUCUGGUCUGGCUUUUGGAUUCCUGCUGGAUGUCAAACCCUAACAAUGGGACACUAAGAGUGUCCAUCCCUGUGCCAAAGGACUCAUUGUUACAGAAAGAGAUCACAGCGAUGAGACACUGACAUGGGAACCCCCUACAAUUCGCACUGCUCCCUGGAUCUCAUGGUCCUCCAUAGCCCUCCCAAGCUGGUUUUGCACAAAGCACACAAGGUUGGACCCCUAGAAGCUAAAAUGCAGACUUAGAAAUUCUUG
Long non-coding RNA from Mesocricetus auratus (golden hamster), 749 nucleotides. RefSeq lists it as uncharacterized. The transcript has 3 exons. NCBI's taxonomy places the organism in Eukaryota, Metazoa, Chordata, Mammalia, Rodentia, Cricetidae. The record is from RefSeq and is a predicted model, not a curated record.